Molecule: ribosomal RNA, 459 nt
Filed under: uncultured bacterium
Lineage: Bacteria
Description: partial 16S ribosomal RNA
Rfam family: Bacterial small subunit ribosomal RNA
Source: RNAcentral
CCUACGGGAGGCAGCAGUGAGGAAUAUUGGUCAAUGGUCGGGAGACUGAACCAGCCAAGCCGCGUGAGGGAUGAAGGUACAGAGUAUCGUAAACCUCUUUUGUCAGGGAACAAAGGCGGGGACGUGUCCCCGGAUGAGUGUACCUGAAGAAAAAGCAUCGGCUAACUCCGUGCCAGCAGCCGCGGUAAUACGGAGGAUGGGAGCGUUAUCCGGUUUUAUUGGGUGAAAGGGGUGCGCAGGCGGUCUGUUAAGUCAGCGGUAAAAGCCCGGGGCUCAACCCCGGCCCGCCGUUGAAACUGGCAGUCUCGAGUUGGAGAGAAGUAUGCGGAAUGCGCGGUGUAGCGGUGAAAUGCAUAGAUAUCGCGCAGAACUCCGAUUGCGAAGGCAGCAUGCCGGCUCCACACUGACGCUGAGGCACGAAAGCGUGGGUAUCGAACAGGAUUAGAUACCCUGGUAGUC